AGUCACUGACACACACUGACACACAGUCACUGACACAAUCACAAGUCACUUACACAAUCACACACAAUCACAAAGACACAGACACUGACACACAAUCACAGACACAGACACUGACACACAGUCACUGACACACACACAGCCACUGACACACAACCACAAAGAUAGUCACUGACACACCACCACACACAGACAGCCACCGACACACAGUCACUGACACACACACCGUCACUGACAUACAACCACACAGUCACUGACACACAACCAUACAGUCACCGACACACAACCAUACAGUCACCGACACACAACCACACAGACACAGUCACUGACACAAUCACACAACCACACAGACACAGUCACUGACACAAUCACACAAUCACAAAGACACAGUCACUGACACAAUCACACAAUCACAAAGACACAGUCACUGACACAAUCACACACAAUCACAAAGACAGUCACUGACAAUCACACACACAGUCACACAGUCACAAUCAGAAGUCACUGACACAAUCACACACAAUCACAAAGACACAGUCACUGACACAAUCACACACAAUCACAAAGACACAGUCACUGACACAAUCACACAAUCACACAGACACAGUCACUGACACAAUCACACACAACCACACAGACACAGUCACUGACACAAUCACACACAAUCACAAAGACACAGUCACUGACACAAUCACACACAAUCACAAAGACACAGUCACUGACACAAUCACACAAUCACACAGACAGUCACUGACACAAUCACACAAUCACACAGACACAGUCACUGACACAAUCACACACAACCACACAGACACAGUCACUGACACACACACAGUCACUGACACACAAUCACAAGUCACUGACAAUCACACACAAUCACACACAAGUCACUGACACAAUCACAAGUCACUGACACAAUCACACAAAUCACAAAGACAGUCACUGACACACAGUCACUGACACACCACCACACACAGACAGCCACUGACACACAAUCACACACACAGUCACACAGUCACUGACACACACACAGUCACUGACACACAACCAUACAGUCACUGACACACAACCACACAGACAGCCACUGACACAAUCACAAUCACAAAGACACAGUCACUGACACACAAUCACACACACAACCACACAGUCACUCUCACACACACACAGUCCCAAUGACCAAAAUGGCGGCACAAGUCAGAGCCCGGUACCAGAGGCUGUGGAGGGAGGCCGCAGAUCUGGGCUGGCCGGGAGGGGGGGGGGCAGUGUUUGAUGCUGGGGGUGCACU
This 1282-nucleotide long non-coding RNA is filed under the name Monodelphis domestica (gray short-tailed opossum). Its description in RNAcentral is "lncRNA (ENSMODG00000036639.1)". Lineage: Eukaryota; Metazoa; Chordata; Mammalia; Didelphimorphia; Didelphidae. The record is from RNAcentral.